UUGUUAGCAGUUUGCUUGUUUGGGCUAUCAGAGCUUUUUCUUUGUGGUUUGGGUUUUUUGGUUGGUUGGUGUCACGAAGUGGGACCUGUGCAUUAUUUCGUGUGCUAAGGAAAAACCAUUUUGAUUUUUCGAACCUUAGUAAGUAAUCCUAGAGGAUGCCUUCAGAGGUCACACCAUUAACUUUUAAUGGUGUGAAGUCUGAGACCUGGGCUCUGUGUUCUUCACCAAAGCUUUGUAAGUCUUUAAACUGCUUUGGGAUGAUCUGACUUGGCCCAUUUUUAUAUGUAACAUGUUUUAGCUAAUUCAUUGUGGACAGAUCUCUGCAAUCAACCAUGAAUAACUUUUUUUAAAAAAAUCAAACUCAUAUUCCCCAGAUAUAAAAAUGGAAAGUAAUCAAAGCCACCGUGAUGGAGGAUGGUAAGUCUGUGAUGCUUCAAGCAUUGCCUCUGAAGAUGUUAAACAGAAAAUUCUCAACAGUUAGGCCUAAAUUCAAAUUCUGGAAGUUACACUUUCUUACAGAUUAAUCCCAAUUGUUCUGCUAGUUCUGUGUUCUAGUUUUGAUGCACAUGGUUUUAAUGGGGAAAGAUUCUGAGUCCUAGUUCAUUUAGGCUUCAUGAAAAUUGAGUAUAAAACUGAGUGUUCAGUCAGAUUAUGAGCCAGAUUCUUCUUCUUAGACUUCUUAGACUAUACAAAUACAAUGAUACCUUCCAUAAGAGUAACCCACUCAAGAAUGUUCCUGUUUAAAAGAUGAAUUUUUUUCUCCUGAGCAAAUUGGAAAGGUUCCUAGUCUAAGCAGAAUUGAACAGAGCUGCCUUUUGAUUGAAGAUGUCAUUUUUAGUGGGUGAUAUUUUCUGAACACAAAACUUUGUAGAAGAGUAUCUAUUACUUUCACUGAUUUUGUUAUAAUGUUUUUUCUUCUGAUGAGA
RNAcentral lists this long non-coding RNA (926 nucleotides) under Bos taurus (domestic cattle). Its description in RNAcentral is "long non-coding RNA NONBTAT004183". The record is from RNAcentral. Lineage: Eukaryota; Metazoa; Chordata; Mammalia; Artiodactyla; Bovidae.